This 64-nucleotide transfer RNA is filed under the name Livia junci. Its description in RNAcentral is "tRNA-Leu". The record is from RNAcentral. Lineage: Eukaryota; Metazoa; Arthropoda; Insecta; Hemiptera; Liviidae.
CUAUUUUGACAGAUUAAUGUGUUAAAUUUAGAAUUUGAUUAUGUAUAAAUUAUUUACAGGUAGA